Molecule: unclassified non-coding RNA, 337 nt
Filed under: soil metagenome
Description: partial contains 5.8S ribosomal RNA, internal transcribed spacer 2, and large subunit ribosomal RNA
Rfam family: 5.8S ribosomal RNA (bases 1-120)
Source: RNAcentral
GAUGAAGAACGCAGCGAAAUGCGAUAAGUAGUGUGAAUUGCAGAAUUCAGUGAAUCAUCGAAUCUUUGAACGCACAUUGCGCCCCAUGGUAUUCCGUGGGGCAUGCCUGUUCGAGCGUCAUUUACCCCCUCAAGCUCCGCUUGGUGUUGGGCGUCUGUCCCGCUUCGCGCGCGGACUCGCCCCAAAGGUAUUGGCAGCGGUCGUGCCAGCUUCUCGCGCAGCACAUUGCGCUUCACGAGGCACCGGUGGGCCCGCGUCCAUCAAGCUCACCCCCCCAGUUUGACCUCGGAUCAGGUAGGGAUACCCGCUGAACUUAAGCAUAUCAAUAAGCGGAGGA